Molecule: ribosomal RNA, 233 nt
Filed under: uncultured bacterium
Lineage: Bacteria
Description: partial 16S ribosomal RNA
Rfam family: Bacterial small subunit ribosomal RNA
Source: RNAcentral
UGAGCAAUCUGCCCUUCUCUUUGGAAUAAGCGUGGGAAACCGCGUCUAAUGCCGAAUACGACCUCCUUUCGCAUGAUCGGAGGUGGAAAGCUCCGGCGGAGAAGGAUGAGCUCGCGGCCUAUCAGCUAGUUGGUGUGGGUAACGCCCACAAGGCGACGACGGGUAGCCGGCCUGAGAGGGUGACCGGCCACACUGGGACUGAGACACGGCCCUGACCUCCGUACGGGAGCAGC